CCUACGGGUGGCAGCAGUGAGGAAUAUUGGUCAAUGGACGCGAGUCUGAACCAGCCAUGCCGCGUGCAGGAUGACUGCUCUAUGAGUUGUAAACUUCUUUUGUACAAGAAUAAACCCCGACACGUGUAUCUGUUUGAAAGUAUCUUACGAAUAAGGAUCGGCUAACUCCGUGCCAGCAGCCGCGGUAAUACGGAGGAUCCGAGCGUUCUCCGGAUUUAUUGGGUUUAAAGGGUGCGUAGGUGGUUUGAUAAGUUAGAGUUGAAAGUUCGGGGAUCAACCCCGAAACUGCCACUAAUACUGGUGGACUAGAGAACAGUUGAGGUAGGCGGAAUGUAUGGUGUAGCGGUGAAAUGCUUAGAGAUCAUACAGAACACCGAUUGCGAAGGCAGCUUACCAAA
RNAcentral lists this ribosomal RNA (398 nucleotides) under uncultured bacterium. Its description in RNAcentral is "partial 16S ribosomal RNA". It matches the Rfam family "Bacterial small subunit ribosomal RNA", at positions 338 to 733 of the family's 1533-position model. The record is from RNAcentral.